UGCUGAAGAGUCCCACAAUAGGACGAAACAGCUGUCUA
RNAcentral lists this non-coding RNA (38 nucleotides) under Schistosoma curassoni. The record is from RNAcentral. Lineage: Eukaryota; Metazoa; Platyhelminthes; Trematoda; Strigeidida; Schistosomatidae.